GUGAUCAUUGUGGAGGUGUUAUACCCGUUCCCAUCCCGAACACGGAAGUCAAGCCCUCUUACGCCGAUGAUACUGCCGCGCAAGCGGCGGGAAAGUAGGUAGUCGCCAAGC
RNAcentral lists this ribosomal RNA (111 nucleotides) under Spirochaetaceae bacterium. Lineage: Bacteria; Pseudomonadati; Spirochaetota; Spirochaetia; Spirochaetales; Spirochaetaceae. The record is from RNAcentral.